CCUACGGGAGGCAGCAGUGGGGAAUCUUGCGCAAUGGGCGAAAGCCUGACGCAGCCAUGCCGCGUGAAUGAUGAAGGUCUUAGGAUUGUAAAAUUCUUUCACCGGGGACGAUAAUGACGGUACCCGGAGAAGAAGCCCCGGCUAACUUCGUGCCAGCAGCCGCGGUAAUACGAAGGGGGGCUAGCGUUGCUCGGAAUUACUGGGCGUAAAGGGAGCGUAGGCGGAUAGUUUAGUCAGAGGUGAAAGCCCAGGGCUCAACCUUGGAAUUGCCUUUGAUACUGGCUAUCUUGAGUAUGGGAGAGGUUAGCGGAACUCCGAGUGUAGAGGUGAAAUUCGUAGAUAUUCGGAAGAACACCAGUGGCGAAGGCGGCUAACUGGCCCAUUACUGACGCUGAGGCUCGAAAGCGUGGGGAGCAAACAGGAUUAGAUACCCUGGUAGUCUACGCCGUAAACGAUGAGUGCUAGUUGUCGGCAUGCAUGCAUGUCGGUGACGCAGCUAACGCAUUAAGCACUCCGCCUGGGGAGUACGGUCGCAAGAUUAAAACUCAAAGGAAUUGACGG
This 561-nucleotide ribosomal RNA is filed under the name uncultured bacterium. Its description in RNAcentral is "bacterial SSU rRNA". It matches the Rfam family "Bacterial small subunit ribosomal RNA", at positions 338 to 916 of the family's 1533-position model. The record is from RNAcentral.